This 512-nucleotide ribosomal RNA is filed under the name Chlorogomphus piaoacensis. RNAcentral describes it as "partial 16S ribosomal RNA". It matches the Rfam family "Bacterial large subunit ribosomal RNA", at positions 1825 to 2597 of the family's 2925-position model. The record is from RNAcentral. Lineage: Eukaryota; Metazoa; Arthropoda; Insecta; Odonata; Chlorogomphidae.
GUCUUCUUGAAUAUAUGGGAAGUCUGACCUGCCCGGUGAAUAUAUAUUUAACGGCCGCGGUAUUUUGACCGUGCAAAGGUAGCAUAAUCAUUAGUCUUUUAAUAGAGGGCUGGAAUGAAGGGUUUGACGAAAUGCUUACUGUCUCAUUUAAUUUGAAAUUUGAAUUUAACUUUUUAGUUAAAAGGCUAAAUUGUUGUUGGAAGACGAGAAGACCCUAUAGAGCUUUAUAUUUUAAAAUUUAAAAAAUUUUUGUUUUAUUAUUAUUUUUUAAAUGGAAAAUUAUUUUGUUGGGGUGACAAGAAUAUAUAAUAAACUUUUUUAUUUAAAUAACAUUGAUUUAUGAUUAUUAGAUCCAUUAUUAUUGAUUGAUAGAGAAAGUUACCUUAGGGAUAACAGCGUAAUCUUCCUUCAGAGUUCAAAUUUACAGGAAGGCUUGCGACCUCGAUGUUGGAUUAAGAUAAUAAUUAGGUGUAGUCGCUUAAUUAAUAGGUCUGUUCGACCUUUAAAUUCUU